Molecule: unclassified non-coding RNA, 329 nt
Filed under: soil metagenome
Description: partial contains 5.8S ribosomal RNA, internal transcribed spacer 2, and large subunit ribosomal RNA
Rfam family: 5.8S ribosomal RNA (bases 1-120)
Source: RNAcentral
GAUGAAGAACGUAGCGAAAUGCGAUACGUAGUGUGAAUUGCAGAAUUCAGUGAAUCAUCGAAUCUUUGAACGCACAUUGCGCCCUCUGGUAUUCCGGGGGGCAUGCCUGUUCGAGCGUCAUUAUAACCACUCAAGCUCUCGCUUGGUAUUGGGGUUCGCGGUUCCGCGGCCCCUAAAAUCAGUGGCGGUGCCUGUCGGCUCUACGCGUAGUAAUACUCCUCGCGAUUGAGUCCGGUAGGUCUACUUGCCAGCAACCCCCAAUUUUUACAGGUUGACCUCGGAUCAGGUAGGGAUACCCGCUGAACUUAAGCAUAUCAAUAAGCGGAGGA